AGUAAAAGUCGUAACAAGGUUUCCGUAGGUGAACCUGCGGAAGGAUCAUUAUCGAAAUAAAUCUGAUGAGUUGCUGCUGGUUCUCUAAGGGAGCAUGUGCACACUUGUCAUCUUUAUAUCUCCACCUGUGCACCUUUUGUAGACCUGGAUCACUCUCCGAAUGCUAGCCAUUCAGGAUUGAGGAAUUGACUUCACAUUCUCUUCUUCUAUUUCCAGGCCUAUGUUUCUUCAUAUACCCCAAUGUAUGUCGUAGAAUGUAAUC
This 262-nucleotide unclassified non-coding RNA is filed under the name Phlegmacium coalescens. Its description in RNAcentral is "Cortinarius coalescens sequence contains 18S rRNA gene, ITS1 and 28S rRNA gene". The stretch from base 1 to 51 matches the Rfam family "Eukaryotic small subunit ribosomal RNA", at positions 1781 to 1831 of the family's 1831-position model. Lineage: Eukaryota; Fungi; Basidiomycota; Agaricomycetes; Agaricales; Cortinariaceae. The record is from RNAcentral.